RNAcentral lists this long non-coding RNA (240 nucleotides) under Homo sapiens (human). Its description in RNAcentral is "non-protein coding lnc-PRDM4-5:1". Lineage: Eukaryota; Metazoa; Chordata; Mammalia; Primates; Hominidae. The record is from RNAcentral.
GAUUCCUCAACAGCACAAAUGCACCAACUGUCACUCUAUGUUCUCCUAGACCUACAGGAGGAGUGUGCAGGUGAUAAUCCAGAGGAGGAAGUGUCAUCUAUCAAGGUGGAGUUCACAGCCAAAAAACACCGUACGUAUUCUAAGAGCACUCCCUUGCUGACAACAAAUCUAAGUGAUGAGAAAGGAGGAACUCUCUUGCCUGCUUUUGUCUGGAGACCCUUCCUGGCUUCAGCUUCCUGA